RNAcentral lists this ribosomal RNA (490 nucleotides) under uncultured bacterium. RNAcentral describes it as "partial 16S ribosomal RNA". It matches the Rfam family "Bacterial small subunit ribosomal RNA", at positions 30 to 507 of the family's 1533-position model. The record is from RNAcentral.
AUUGAACGCUGGCGGCAGGCCUAACACAUGCAAGUCGAACGGUAACAGGAAGAAGCUUGCUUCUUUGCUGACGAGUGGCGGACGGGUGAGUAAUGUCUGGGAAACUGCCUGAUGGAGGGGGAUAACUACUGGAAACGGUAGCUAAUACCGCAUAACGUCGCAAGACCAAAGAGGGGGACCUUCGGGCCUCUUGCCAUCGGAUGUGCCCAGAUGGGAUUAGCUAGUAGGUGGGGUAACGGCUCACCUAGGCGACGAUCCCUAGCUGGUCUGAGAGGAUGACCAGCCACACUGGAACUGAGACACGGUCCAGACUCCUACGGGAGGCAGCAGUGGGGAAUAUUGCACAAUGGGCGCAAGCCUGAUGCAGCCAUGCCGCGUGUAUGAAGAAGGCCUUCGGGUUGUAAAGCACUUUCAGCGGGGAGGAAGGGAGUAAAGUUAAUACCUUUGCUCAUUGACGUUACCCGCAGAAGAAGCACCGGCUAACUCCGUG